Long non-coding RNA from Centruroides sculpturatus (bark scorpion), 347 nucleotides. RefSeq lists it as uncharacterized. The transcript has 4 exons. The record is from RefSeq and is a predicted model, not a curated record. NCBI's taxonomy places the organism in Eukaryota, Metazoa, Arthropoda, Arachnida, Scorpiones, Buthidae.
AGUCUGAUGACGUCAAAUAUGAAGAAAAGAAGGAACAAUAUGAGUGAAGCGAAUUUAAAUUAAAUUGAUGAGUUCGAAUAGUUGCUUUACACUUAUAGGAGACUCGAGUCUACGAUGUAAUGAGUUAUCAAGAACUAAGCACAUUCUUCUAAUGAUCCUUAGAGUUAAAGAUCACGAAAAAAUUUAUAGAAAAACGCAUUGAUUUAGGUGCAAUCGAGUGAAAAUAGAAGAGGAAGAAUGUGUAUAUAAAGCGUGUGUAGGUCUAUAUACUUUCUACUAAAUGUACAAAUAUUUAAAGCCACUUUCUAUAUUUUUACUUGUAUAUAGACUAAACAGUCUAAGCCUAU